RNAcentral lists this long non-coding RNA (432 nucleotides) under Elaeis guineensis (African oil palm). RNAcentral describes it as "long non-coding RNA (EGUI_LNC050045)". Lineage: Eukaryota; Viridiplantae; Streptophyta; Magnoliopsida; Arecales; Arecaceae. The record is from RNAcentral.
GAGCCUUUCACACUAGUCAAAAAAGGGUGUGAAAGCGUCUAAAAGGGUGAAGAAUGAAUGCAAAUUAAAUAACUCGGAUAUGGGGCUUAUAAUUUUGAUUUUUUUGGUGGUUUGUGUCAUUUUAUCUCUUCAUGUUUUAUUUGAUGACUUGAAGCGAAGUGCAAGUAAAGAUCUACAAGCUAAUAGCAAAAGCAAAAGCAACAAAACAAAAAAAAACUUGCUACACAUGUAUACAAUAAAAAAACCUAGGAACUAGCAUACUUGCAAUGACAAUAUGUAGGCAAGAUUAAGCAAGGGAGAAGUAAUAUCUAAAAAGGGUGAAAUCAAAUAAGAAGACAAUCGGAUCUAAGUGAGAUGAAAUCAAAAGAAAUUAGAUCUAAGCAAAAGUAGGCAAAAGAAAUAAGACCCUAGUAAAACAAAGCAAAGCAAAAG